UUCAGUUUGGCUGCAGAUAUGCUAAAAUUGGAACGAUACAGAGAAGAUUAGUGUGGCCCCUGCAAGGAUGACAUGCAAAUUUGUAAAGCAUUCUGUACUUUU
Molecule: small nuclear RNA, 102 nt
Organism: Hyaena hyaena (striped hyena)
Lineage: Eukaryota; Metazoa; Chordata; Mammalia; Carnivora; Hyaenidae
Source: RefSeq, a predicted model, not a curated record